CCUACGGGGGGCAGCAGUGAGGAAUAUUGGUCAAUGGACGAGAGUCUGAACCAGCCAAGUAGCGUGAAGGAUGACUGCCCUAUGGGUUGUAAACUGCUUUUAUAUGGGAAUAAAACAGGGUAUGCAUACCCUCCUGUAUGUACCAUAUGAAUAAGGAUCGGCUAACUCCGUGCCAGCAGCCGCGGUAAUACGGAGGAUCCGAGCGUUAUCCGGAUUUAUUGGGGUUAAAGGGUGCGUAGGUGGAUUGAUAAGUUAGUGGUGAAAGUUUGGGGCUUAACCGUGGAAUUGCAGUUGAAACUGGCAAUCUAGAGAGUAGUAGAGGUAGGCGGAAUGUAUGGUGUAGCGGUGAAAUGCUUAGAGAUCACAAAGAACACCGAUUGCGAAGGCAGCUCACUGGUCUAUAUCUGACGCUGAUGCACGAAAGUGUGGGUAGCAAACAGGAUUAGAUACCCCGGUAGUC
RNAcentral lists this ribosomal RNA (460 nucleotides) under uncultured bacterium. Its description in RNAcentral is "partial 16S ribosomal RNA". It matches the Rfam family "Bacterial small subunit ribosomal RNA", at positions 338 to 795 of the family's 1533-position model. The record is from RNAcentral.